GUCGAGAAUCUUCCGCAAUGCGCGAAAGCGUGACGGAGCGACACCGCGUGAUGGAUGAAGUCCUUCGGGGCGUAAACAUCUUUUAUAAAGGAGGAAAUUUUUGACGUUACUUUAUGAAUAAGGUGCUCCCAAUCUCGUGCCAGCAGGAGCGGUAAUACGAGAGCCUCAAGCGUUAUCCGGAAUCAUUGGGCGUAAAGGGUGCGUAGGUGGUUUGAUUAGUCUCCCGUUAAAACUUCGAGCUUAACUCGAAAAGAGCGGGGGAAACGGUCAAACUAGAGUAUGUGAGAGGUGUGUGGAACUCAUGGUGUAGGGGUGAAAUCCGUUGAUAUCAUGGGGAACACCAAAAGCGAAGGCAGCACACUGGCACAUCACUGACACUGAGGCACGAAACCUAAGGUAGCGAAUGGGAUUAGAAAACCGGGUAGUCC
RNAcentral lists this ribosomal RNA (428 nucleotides) under uncultured bacterium. RNAcentral's name for it is "partial 16S ribosomal RNA". It matches the Rfam family "Bacterial small subunit ribosomal RNA", at positions 354 to 796 of the family's 1533-position model. The record is from RNAcentral.